This is a non-coding RNA of Pelobates cultripes (western spadefoot toad), 333 nucleotides long. Lineage: Eukaryota; Metazoa; Chordata; Amphibia; Anura; Pelobatidae. The record is from the annotation of a GenBank genome assembly.
AAGAAGUGCAGCUUAAGGAAAAUAAUUUUUAAAAAAAAUAUUCAAUUAGUUCUGAUUUUCAGAGUACAUAAUAUGUCUAGGAUUUCAGUUUAUUUUGAAAAUUACAGGUCACAAAAUACAAGGAGUAAAAUAAAAUUAUAUUGUGGAGCUAUUUUAGAAUUUGGUAUGUUUGUCUUGUAAGCUUAAUAGCCAUCACAGAAAGCAAAAUUGCCGCACAAAAGUAUAUAUUUAUAUAAAGCACACAUGACAGGCUAUUUACCAAAGGGUAUUCUGACACUUUUUACGUAGCCAUUUCGCUGCCAAUCUCUGCUAAACAGUGUAGUAAAAUUGUGG